GACGAACGCUGGCGGCGUGCUUAACACAUGCAAGUCGAACGGAAAGGCCCUGCUUGUUUGGGGUGCUCGAGUGGCAAACGGGUGAGUAACACGUAAGUAACCUGCCCUUCUCUUUGGUGUAACUUCAGGAAACUGGGGCUACUCUCGGAUCGGAUCUCCUCCUGCAUGGUGGGGGUUGGAUAGUUUCGGCGGUUGGGGCUGGACGCGCGGCUUAUCAGCUUGUUGGUGGGGUAGUGGCGUACCAAGGCGUUGACGGGUAGCCGGCCUGGGAGGGUGACCGGCCACAGUGGGACUGGGAAACGGCCAAGAGGCCUACGGGAGGCAGGAGUGGGAAAUAUUGCACAAUGGGCGGAAGCGUGAUGCAGCAACGCCGCGUGGGGGAGGACGGCCUUUGGGUUGGAAACCGCUUUGGCUUGUGACGAGGCGUGAGGGACGGUAAUGGGUAAAGAAGCACCGGCUAACUAGGG
This 467-nucleotide ribosomal RNA is filed under the name uncultured bacterium. Its description in RNAcentral is "partial 16S ribosomal RNA". It matches the Rfam family "Bacterial small subunit ribosomal RNA", at positions 28 to 506 of the family's 1533-position model. The record is from RNAcentral.